Molecule: long non-coding RNA, 1529 nt
Filed under: Homo sapiens (human)
Lineage: Eukaryota; Metazoa; Chordata; Mammalia; Primates; Hominidae
Description: HSALNT0322458
Source: RNAcentral
CAUGGUGUGCUUGUCUGAUGGACAGGGCAGCUUAGGGGAAUAAGUCUCUGCAGCGUUGUAGUGAAGAGAGAAUACGGGACAACUGCAGGACCACAGCUCAGCCAAGAGCUCCCUUGCAGCUGAGUUGGCCAUAUGACUGACAGCAAGCCCUGGAAUGCAGCCAGAAGUGAUAGAAGCCUCUUUCACACCAUGCUCCUAAAAUAUUCCAAGAAAUUUUCCAAACCUACUCUUUUUAGUCUGUGCAUCUGGAAGUGAAAGUUUUAGAAAGGGUAAAGUCACUUAAUGGAAAGGGCCCAGAUCUAGCCCCUCGGAGCCAAGCUGUCCAACUAGAAAUUCUGCAUUAGUAUUUGCGACCCCAGUAAAAAAAAAAAAGUCCCACAAAGAUGUAGGAUCUCACUUUGCCUGCGUUAAUUCCCUGUCCUUUGCCCAGUUUCUCCUCUCUUGGAAGGCAGAGGCAGCUUCUGAUUUUGAUCACUUCAUGUCCAGGUAAGCAGCGCUGGGAAGCACAUGGGGGGAGGUCAUUGAAGAGAAGAGCUACCAUGCUUCCAGCUUCACUCAGGACACAGACUGCAAAGGCUCAAUUGUCCAGAACAAAACAAUCUUGAUCUGAAGCUUGACAAUCCCUAUUUGCAGAACACUUACUGGCAUUAGCUGAACAUUUGCUUUUCUUUAAAACCUUUCUCCCUGGAAACGUCACAUGCAGGGUAGCUCACCUCUGUCAUGGGAAUGGCACCUCCUGUAGUUGAGGUGAAAACUGGAAAGAUGAAAAAACUGGCCUGUUCUUAACCUGAACUUCCAUGAACGCUUGGGAGCAUUCAAUAAGGUACUCCAAAGCCUAAGUGAAGGAUGAGUGGAGAGGCAAGAUAAAAAUGUGGUUAUUCUUAUGACUUAAUAUCUUGGAAAACUCAGAUCUGUUGGUGCUUGAUUUAUUUGCAGAUUUCUAUAAUGUGAGAAAACUAAGCAGAGCUCACAGGAUUAACAUUUCUCUAUUUUUAGUACACACAUACACAUAAAGCACAGUUACUCAAUGACCAAGGAGAAAACUUCCAAAAAACCUCUUAUGCAGGAGAGCCCUGCCCAGAUUUUCAGGUCUUGAUGUUCAGUUCCAUUAGCAUAGCAGGUCAAUAUCCAUUAAGUGUAGACAGUCCCUCAGACAGUAAGAACCACUGUGGGUUAGUGGUUCAGAGCAUGGUUUUGGAGGUGCACUGCUGGGCUUGGAAUCCUAGCUUGCCUAUUCAAUAUUAUGUGACUCUAUGUACAUUAUUUAACCCCUUGGAGCUUCACUCUUAUCUAUGAAGUGGAGAGGAGAUGAUGAUAAUGUACCUCCCUCACAAGUAUUUAAUAAAAGUGAUGAACUUGGAAAAGUAUAUGUAACGCACUGAGUGCUUUACAAGCAUUAGUCAUACCUAAAUUGGCAUUUGAACACUACAUUAGAAAGAAAGUUGGAGAAAAUAGUGGGUAGGCUCUGUUGUCUUAGGAUGAGAAAGUAUUGUUUAAAUGAUUUUUAAAAAGAAGAAGAAAAUAAAAAA